Molecule: long non-coding RNA, 1651 nt
Filed under: Homo sapiens (human)
Lineage: Eukaryota; Metazoa; Chordata; Mammalia; Primates; Hominidae
Description: HSALNT0311571
Source: RNAcentral
GAGUCUUCCAGCUGAGCCUCUAAGACAGUGUGGAGCUGAGGUUGCUUGUGCUCACUGUGUCCUGUUCAAAUUCCCGACCUAAUGAAUCCAUGAGCCUAAUAAGGAAUGAUUGUUGUGUUCCAUUAUGUUUUGGGGUAAUUUGUUACACAGCAAUAGGAACAAGGUACAUAAGUUAUUUUAUUGAAGUUCAGGUGGAUUUAAAUAGAGCAAUGGAAUGGCAAUGUUUACAAAACUGUGCCAUCCUUCCUCCCCUGUGUCCCUGGCAUCUGGCAUUCAUAGUGGUAUCCCAAAGGGAUAUCAUUCUUUUUUUUUUUUUUUUUAAUGGAGUCUCACUCUGUCACCCAGGCUGGAGUGCAGUAGCACAAUCUUGGCUCAUUGCAACCUCCGCCUCCCUGGUUCAAGCAAUUCUCCUGCCUCAGCCUCCUGAGUAGCUAGGAUUAGAGGCGCGCGUCACCAUGCCCAGCUAAUUUUUGUAAUUUUAGUAGAGACGGGUUUCAUCAUGUUGGUCAGGCUUGUCUCGAACUCCUGACCCUGUGAUCUGCCUGCCACGGCCUCCCAAAGUGCUGGGAUUACAGGCGUGAGCCACCGGGCCCGGCCUCACCGAAGGGAUAUCAUUCUUAAAGAAGCAUAGUGCAGACAAGAAUUUUAAUCUUAAUUCAUGUUUCUUUCAAAAAUUUAAGGGAGUCCAACUUAGGCCAUAACAACUCAUUAAAGUUUCUUGUUCUCUAUUCUCAAGCACCCUAAAGCUCCUAAAUCUGUUUCACCCUUCUGCUCCAACACCACUCUCUCAUCCAUGCUGUCUUUCCCCACCAUCUUGGUUCCUUGAACUUUUUUCUGCUAAUGCAUUUCUACAUAACACACUCCUUUGAAGGUGCACAGUCCUAGUAUGCUCAGCAGCUUUGGGCACCCCUGUUAUGCCAUGAUGGCCUUACAAUAGAUAAUCCGCCCAUAUAUAUUUUUUCUUUUGGUCUUUAAAGCUAGAGAAGGAAAAAAAAGUGACCUAAGAAAAAAAACGAAAUCUAAAUAGCCUUGUAUCUAUAAAAGGAUUGAAUUUACGAAUUUUUAAAAAGCUACCACAAAGAAAACUCCAGGCUCACUGGUGAAUUCUACCAAAAAUUUAAAGAGAGCCAGCGUGGUGAUUCAUGCCUGUAAUCCCAGCACUUUGGAAGGCUGAGGCAGGAGGAUCACUUGAGGCCAGGAUUGUGAGACCAGCCUGGGCUAAACAUAACAAGACCUUGUCUUUACAAAAAAGGUUUUUUUUGUUUUUUUUUUUUAAUUAGCGGUGUGUAGUGGUAUGUAUCUGCAGUUCUAGAUACUUGAAAGGUUGAGGCUAGAGGACUGCUUAAGCCCAGGAGGCUGAGGCUGCAGUGAGCCACGAACAUGCCACUGCACUCCAAUCUGGGUGACAGAGCAAGACCCUGUCUCAAGAAAAAAAAAAAAAAGUAGGGAAGCAAUAAUGUGAAUCUUACAUAAACUCUUUCAAAAAAUAGAGGAGAAGGGAUUUCAUUGUAUGAGGCUAGUAUAUCCCCAACAUCAAAACCUGACAGAGACAUUAAAAAAAAUGCAGACUGAUAGCCAUCAUGAACCUAGACAGAAAAUCCUUUUUAAAAAAUUGGUAUAUCAGCUGGGUGCAGUGGCUCACGCCUGUAAU